GUGAAUCAUCAAAUUUUUGAACGCAUAUUGCACUCUCUGGUAAUCCGGAGAGUAUACCUGUUUGAGGGUAAUCAAAAAGAUUCUUUAACCACUUUUUUUUUGGUCAAAGGAAAUGAGUACUCCGCGAUUAUAGCGGUAGCUUGAAAUAAAUGGUCAAGUCUCUUUUUAGUUGAGACGCGUAAUAAUAUUAUUUCGCG
Molecule: unclassified non-coding RNA, 197 nt
Filed under: Ambisporaceae sp.
Lineage: Eukaryota; Fungi; Glomeromycota; Glomeromycetes; Archaeosporales; Ambisporaceae
Description: partial contains 5.8S ribosomal RNA and internal transcribed spacer 2
Rfam family: 5.8S ribosomal RNA (bases 1-71)
Source: RNAcentral